AGUGAACGCUGGCGGUAGGCCUAACACAUGCAAGUCGAACGGCAGCACAGUAAGAGCUUGCUCUUACGGGUGGCGAGUGGCGGACGGGUGAGGAAUACAUCGGAAUCUACUUUUUCGUGGGGGAUAACGUAGGGAAACUUACGCUAAUACCGCAUACGACCUACGGGUGAAAGCAGGGGAUCUUCGGACCUUGCGCGAUUGAAUGAGCCGAUGUCGGAUUAGCUAGUUGGCGGGGUAAAGGCCCACCAAGGCGACGAUCCGUAGCUGGUCUGAGAGGAUGAUCAGCCACACUGGAACUGAGACACGGUCCAGACUCCUACGGGAGGCAGCAGUGGGGAAUAUUGGACAAUGGGCGCAAGCCUGAUCCAGCCAUACCGCGCGGGUGAAGAAGGCCUUCGGGUUGUAAAGCCCUUUUGUUGGGCAAGAAAAGCAGCAGGUUAAUACCCCGCUGUUCUGACGGUACCCAAAGAAUAAGCACCGGCUAACUUCGUG
RNAcentral lists this ribosomal RNA (492 nucleotides) under uncultured bacterium. Its description in RNAcentral is "partial 16S ribosomal RNA". It matches the Rfam family "Bacterial small subunit ribosomal RNA", at positions 29 to 507 of the family's 1533-position model. The record is from RNAcentral.